This 630-nucleotide ribosomal RNA is filed under the name Malassezia furfur. Its description in RNAcentral is "LSU rRNA". It matches the Rfam family "Eukaryotic large subunit ribosomal RNA", at positions 34 to 651 of the family's 3401-position model. The record is from RNAcentral. Lineage: Eukaryota; Fungi; Basidiomycota; Malasseziomycetes; Malasseziales; Malasseziaceae.
UUAAGCAUAUCAUUAAGCGGAGGAAAAGAAACUAACAAGGAUUCCCCUAGUAACGGCGAGUGAAGAGGGAAGAGCUCAAAUUUGAAAGCUGGUACCUUCGGUAUCCGCGUUGUAACCUCGAGACACGUUUUCCGUGCGGCGCUAUGGACAAGUUCCUUGGAACAGGACAUCGUAGAGGGUGAAAAUCCCGUACUUGCCAUGGAUGUACCGUGCUUUGCGAUACGUGCUCUAAGAGUCGAGUUGUUUGGGAUUGCAGCUCAAAAUGGGUGGUAGACUCCAUCUAAAGCUAAAUAUCGGGGAGAGACCGAUAGCGAACAAGUACCGUGAGGGAAAGAUGAAAAGCACUUUGGAAAGAGAGUUAAAAGUACGUGAAAUUGUCGAAAGGGAAGCGCUUGAAGUCAGCCAUGCCGCUCAGGACUCAGCCUGGCUUUUGCUUGGUGUAUUUCCUGGGUAGCAAGUCAGCAUUGGUUUGGAUCGUCGGAGAAGCAUAGUCGGAAUGUGGCGCCCUCGGGCGUGUUAUAGCCUUCUAUUGGAUACGACGAUCUAGACCAAGGAACGCAGCGCGCCUUAUGGCGGGUCUUCGGACACCUUCGCGCUUAGGAUGCUGGCGUAAUGGCUUUAAGUGGCCCG